ACCAACUGACCAACGGCCAGUUCUCCAUUAUACAGAUGAUAUGCUAGAUAGAUAUUUGAUACACAUGUCAUGUAGUUUUGGAUUGAUAACCAAUAUCCCUGCUAAAACCUCUAUAAUACAGGACAUUGACAUCGGUCCCCUAUAAUUAUUAAUGGAAGUGCCUGUCCUCAAAGCAAAAGCUGAUCCUGAGUAUAUUUCCUAUAUAUAAUUUACAUUUAUAGACACCACACAGCCCCGGACUCUUCGCGCCUGAGCAGGAGGAGGGAGGGGAGCACAGAGCUUGCUGUGAGGAAAUGAGAGCACCGCAGAGGCUGUACAACAUGGGGCCUGACUAAAGAUAAAGAUCUGCUGACAAAGUGAGGAACCAAUGAUGUCUGAGCAUCACACUCUGCAGAGGAAGAUUUAGCUGGAAGCCACCACCCCAUCUGGACCGGAGGAAGGAGAAAAUGGAAGACAACAGAGAAGACGUC
Molecule: long non-coding RNA, 470 nt
Organism: Hyla sarda
Lineage: Eukaryota; Metazoa; Chordata; Amphibia; Anura; Hylidae
Exons: 3
Source: RefSeq, a predicted model, not a curated record